AGAGUUUGAUCCUGGCUCAGAUUGAACGCUGGCGGCAUGCCUUACACAUGCAAGUCGAACGGCAGCACGAGAGCUUGCUCUUGGUGGCGAGUGGCGAACGGGUGAGUAAUAUAUCGGAACGUACCCUAGAGUGGGGGAUAACGUAGCGAAAGUUACGCUAAUACCGCAUACGAUCUACGGAUGAAAGUGGGGGAUCGCAAGACCUCAUGCUCAUGGAGCGGCCGAUAUCUGACUAGCUAGUUGGUGGGGUAAAAGCUCACCAAGGCGACGAUCAGUAGCUGGUCUGAGAGGACGACCAGCCACACUGGAACUGAGACACGGUCCAGACUCCUACGGGAGGCAGCAGUGGGGAAUUUUGGACAAUGGGCGCAAGCCUGAUCCAGCAAUGCCGCGUGAGUGAAGAAGGCCUUCGGGUUGUAAAGCUCCUUUGUCAGGGAAGAAACGGUGGACUCUAAUACAGAUCACUAAUGACGGUACCUGAAGAAUAAGCACCGGCUAACUACGUGCCAGCAGCCGCGGUAAUACGUAGGGUGCAAGCGUUAAUCGGAAUUACUGGGCGUAAAGCGUGCGCAGGCGGUUGUGCAAGACAGAUGUGAAAUCCCCGGGCUCAACCUGGGAAUUGCAUUUGUGACUGCACGGCUAGAGUGUGUCAGAGGGGGGUAGAAUUCCACGUGUAGCAGUGAAAUGCGUAGAGAUGUGGAGGAAUACCGAUGGCGAAGGCAGCCCCCUGGGAUAACACUGACGCUCAUACACGAAAGCGUGGGGAGCAAACAGGAUUAGAUACCCUGGUAGUCCACGCCCUAAACGAUGUCUACUAGUUGUCGGGUCUUAAUUGACUUGGUAACGCAGCUAACGCGUGAAGUAGACCGCCUGGGGAGUACGGUCGCAAGAUUAAAACUCAAAGGAAUUGACGGGGACCCGCACAAGCGGUGGAUGAUGUGGAUUAAUUCGAUGCAACGCGAAAAACCUUACCUACCCUUGACAUGUCUGGAAUCCUUGAGAGAUCAGGGAGUGCUCGAAAGAGAAUCAGAACACAGGUGCUGCAUGGCUGUCGUCAGCUCGUGUCGUGAGAUGUUGGGUUAAGUCCCGCAACGAGCGCAACCCUUGUCAUUAGUUGCUACGAAAGGGCACUCUAAUGAGACUGCCGGUGACAAACCGGAGGAAGGUGGGGAUGACGUCAAGUCCUCAUGGCCCUUAUGGGUAGGGCUUCACACGUCAUACAAUGGUACAUACAGAGGGCCGCCAACCCGCGAGGGGGAGCUAAUCCCAGAAAGUGUAUCGUAGUCCGGAUUGUAGUCUGCAACUCGACUACAUGAGGUUGGAAUCGCUAGUAAUCGCGGAUCAGCAUGUCGCGGUGAAUACGUUCCCGGGUCUUGUACACACCGCCCGUCACACCAUGGGAGCGGGUUUCACCAGAAGUGGGUAGCCUAACCGCAAGGAGGGCGCUCACCACGGUGGGAUUCGUGACUGGGGUGAAGUCGUAACAAGGUA
Molecule: ribosomal RNA, 1491 nt
Filed under: metagenome
Description: bacterial SSU rRNA
Rfam family: Bacterial small subunit ribosomal RNA
Source: RNAcentral